CCGGGGGCUUUCCCCGCCACCGGUUUUCAACUUGAUAGAGGGUGGUGGUUCAGUUUUCAAUUUGUUUUCCUAAUGGCAAAUACUGCUCAAUCAGAACUCCUAAAUGACCGCUUAUGGAAUGCCUAUGCUAGACCGCAGGCAUAUGUUCCCCUUGAAGGGGAGCACAUUUACUACUUCCCCCAAGGACAUAUUGAACAGGUU
Long non-coding RNA from Helianthus annuus (common sunflower), 201 nucleotides. RefSeq lists it as uncharacterized. The record is from RefSeq and is a predicted model, not a curated record. NCBI's taxonomy places the organism in Eukaryota, Viridiplantae, Streptophyta, Magnoliopsida, Asterales, Asteraceae. The transcript is spliced from 3 exons.